CUUGUAGGUCCUUUCCAACCUUGUGAUUCUGUGAUUCUUGUGAAAUUUCAAUUAUCAGACAUUUAAGAGAGAAAGCAGAAGGCAGGAGGACUUCAGAUCUGUUUGGGGGCAGUUAACGCAAGGGGAGCUUUAUGAGGGAUUUCUUUCAACCCACAGAAAUACGAUACUGUAUGGGUAGGUAACUUCUGAUUCUGAGAGGUGAAAAGAACUGCGUGCCUCUGCAGUUUUCUAGGCAGCAGUUUUCUGUGUAGUUGUGAGCAAAGUAGAAACACGCUUCUUCAUGAUAACGCUGAGCAUAUUUGCUACAUCACCACUAUAGAGUUCUAUGUUACUCACAAUUUUAUCUUGCUUUGUCAAGUCUCUAAUAAGUCUUUAUGAAUCAACUGGGCAUGCAGUUACUUGCAUUGUUAGUCUGGAGUAGGAAAGUCUUGUGUGUAGAAAGAAAAACAGGUGUCCACUGUAGACUUUUGCUGUCUUAUAUUCCAUUAAUUAGACUGCACUUAGAGUAAGAGCCAUCAUAAACUGUGUUUGUGUCUGUCUACUUAAGCCAAAGUCCCACCACUCUUGAAGUUUCUGAAGGAGGAGCUAAGAAAUCUGCUUGAAAUAUAGAGAAAUGAAAUGAGCCGGGAGUGCAGAGGUUUGGAAGACAUCCCUCGUGUUCAGGAAGAGCCCGGUAAUCCAAGUGGCAAUGAAGAAGUCCUGGCAACUUUACCUUUGAAAAUUCAGGGCUCAGAUUUGUGCUUCCUGAUUUAGGAUUCCAGUAGAGGACUCAGAGUGCCUUCCAAAACACCUUUUGGGUUAAAUCUACACUACAAAUACAUAUGAAAGUUCAAUUUUAUAGAUAGUGAAGAAAAAGCUGACCCCUUCUGUAUGGUCUUUCCAGCAAAUCACAGUGAAUAAUGGAUAACGCCAUACUUUAAUUUUUUAUUUAUAGUUACUUUAAAUCUAAUUUUUAGUGAAGCCUUGUAUUUCAGUCCUCUUCCCUAAUGACUCACUGGGUGGAUACAGGGAGACCAGCCUCUGCGUAUCAUUGUCUUGCUUUUAUCUAUUUAUUUCUUUUUAAACAGACGUCGUACUGAACGUAUGGUUUGAAUUUUGGGCAGUCCUGUGUGAAGCUGGGAGUUAACCUCCGUGAUCCUCGUGGGGCUCUUCCAGCUUGAGAUGUUCUUCCUUCUAAUGUGAUGGCAGCGGGAAUCCGGAAAAAAUAAUUCCAUGAGAUGGUGUUCUGAAUGAAGGUAUGACAUUCCAGUUUCCUUCACUUGGAAUCAGACAUCCAGAGGUGAAAUGUUCUGGGAAAAUUGCCCGCCCUUCAUUUGAAAGGCUCCAUUCAGCAAACAUUCCUCCAGCUUGUUUGAUCAUGACCUUUCCUCAUUUUUGAGCACCCUUCUCUGCACAACAGCGUCUCAUGCAAAUGAGGGCAUCUCAUCAGACUCAGCCUUAGAGCAUCUGGCUUGGAUUCCUUAAUGGAAAUAAAGUAAGUGACAGAACACGGUAGGUUUUUCAUACCAGGGGUGCAUCAUGCAGAGAAGCUUCAGGAACAGAGAAAAAGAUAGAAAGUAGCAACUAAAAAUAACCCACCUUCAGCAGUAACAAUGCAGAAAAUACUUUCCAAGCUAUGUAAGUAAUAUAUCAACACUGAAGCCGAUUAAGAUUUGAUAAAGUACUAACUUCCCCAUUUUUUAAUAGGAAGGCUGGGACCCGAGAUAAAACAGUGUCAUGCUGGGGAGGACAAACACCACAGCAUCCAAUAAACUUUUUAUGCACUUAUUUUGCUAAAGACCAA
Coturnix japonica (Japanese quail) is the source of this 1783-nucleotide non-coding RNA. NCBI's taxonomy places the organism in Eukaryota, Metazoa, Chordata, Aves, Galliformes, Phasianidae. The record is from RefSeq and is a predicted model, not a curated record.